This 110-nucleotide ribosomal RNA is filed under the name Petromyzon marinus (sea lamprey). The record is from RNAcentral. Lineage: Eukaryota; Metazoa; Chordata; Hyperoartia; Petromyzontiformes; Petromyzontidae.
GCCCAUCAUCCAGAAUGUUCCGUAUUUCAUCAGACCCCUGAAGCUAAACAGGUUUGAACCUGGAUAGUACUUGGAUAGUCGACCACCCUAAAUAGCAGGUGGUAUAGGCA